GGUUAAUAUUCCCGUACUUGGUGUUACUGCGAAGGGGGGACGGAGAAGGCUAUGUUGGCCGGGCGACGGUUGUCCCGGUUUAAGCGUGUAGGUGUGUGUUCCAGGUAAAUCCGGUUCACUUUAACACUGAGGCGUGACGACGAGGCACUACGGUGCUGAAGCAACAAAUGCCCUGCUUCCAGGAAAAGCCUCUAAGCAUCAGGUAACAUCAAAUCGUACCCCAAACCGACACAGGUGGUCAGGUAGAGAAUACCAAGGCGCUUGAGAGAACUCGGGUGAAGGAACUAGGCAAAAUGGUGCCGUAACUUCGGGAGAAGGCACGCUGACACGUAGGUGAAGUGAUUUACUCAUGGAGCUGAAGUCAGUCGAAGAUACCAGCUGGCUGCAACUGUUUAUUAAAAACACAGCACUGUGCAAACACGAAAGUGGACGUAUACGGUGUGACGCCUGCCCGGUGCCGGAAGGUUAAUUGAUGGGGUCAGCGCAAGCGAAGCUCCUGAUCGAAGCCCCGGUAAACGGCGGCCGUAACUAUAACGGUCCUAAGGUAGCGAAAUUCCUUGUCGGGUAAGUUCCGACCUGCACGAAUGGCGUAAUGAUGGCCAGGCUGUCUCCACCCGAGACUCAGUGAAAUUGAACUCGCUGUGAAGAUGCAGUGUACCCGCGGCAAGACGGAAAGACCCCGUGAACCUUUACUAUAGCUUGACACUGAACAUUGAGCCUUGAUGUGUAGGAUAGGUGGGAGGCUUUGAAGCGUGGACGCCAGUCUGCGUGGAGCCGACCUUGAAAUACCACCCUUUAAUGUUUGAUGUUCUAACGUGGACCCGUGAUCCGGGUUGCGGACAGUGUCUGGUGGGUAGUUUGACUGGGGCGGUCUCCUCCUAAAGAGUAACGGAGGAGCACGAAGGUUGGCUAAUCCUGGUCGGACAUCAGGAGGUUAGUGCAAUGGCAUAAGCCAGCUUGACUGCGAGCGUGACGGCGCGAGCAGGUGCGAAAGCAGGUCAUAGUGAUCCGGUGGUUCUGAAUGGAAGGGCCAUCGCUCAACGGAUAAAAGGUACUCCGGGGAUAACAGGCUGAUACCGCCCAAGAGUUCAUAUCGACGGCGGUGUUUGGCACCUCGAUGUCGGCUCAUCACAUCCUGGGGCUGAAGUAGGUCCCAAGGGUAUGGCUGUUCGCCAUUUAAAGUGGUACGCGAGCUGGGUUUAGAACGUCGUGAGACAGUUCGGUCCCUAUCUGCCGUGGGCGCUGGAGAACUGAGGGGGGCUGCUCCUAGUACGAGAGGACCGGAGUGGACGCAUCACUGGUGUUCGGGUUGUCAUGCCAAUGGCACUGCCCGGUAGCUAAAUGCGGAAGAGAUAAGUGCUGAAAGCAUCUAAGCACGAAACUUGCCCCGAGAUGAGUUCUCCCUGAGACUUAAAGUCUCCUGAAGGAACGUUGAAGACGACGACGUUGAUAGGCCGGGUGUGUAAGCGCAGCGAUGCGUUGAGCUAACCGGUACUAAUGAACCGUGAGGCUUAACCUUACAAC
This 1524-nucleotide ribosomal RNA is filed under the name Salmonella enterica. Its description in RNAcentral is "partial 23S ribosomal RNA". It matches the Rfam family "Bacterial large subunit ribosomal RNA", at positions 1428 to 2925 of the family's 2925-position model. The record is from RNAcentral. Lineage: Bacteria; Pseudomonadati; Pseudomonadota; Gammaproteobacteria; Enterobacterales; Enterobacteriaceae.